GGGGGGUCUGUCUUUAGGAAGUAAAUCUUCAAGUCUAUAGAUCUGAAUGAAAUAGUCUUAACACACUUCUUUUUAAAUAUUUUCAGAUUUUGUGUUGGAGACAAAUUUUUCCUAAAGAAUAACAUGAUCCUUUGCCAGACGGACUACGAGGAAGGUUUAAUGAAAGAAGGUUAUGCACCCCAGGUUCGCUGAUCUAUCAACAUCACCCCAUUAUGAAUACAAAGCACUACAUUCUUUUAUCUUUUUUGCUCCACAUGUAUAUAAGAAUUGACACAGGAGCCAACUGAAUAGCGUAGAUAUAGGGAAGCAGGAUGGUUAAAUGGAAUUAAAGGCGGACUGCAUCUGUAUGUAGUAAAAUUGCCCCAGUUCAGAGUUGAAUGUUUAUUAUUAAAGAAAAAAAGUAAUGUACAUAUUGCUGGAUUUUUUUGCUUGCUAUUCGUUUUUGUGUCACUUGGCAUGAGAUGUUUAUUUUGGACUAUUGUAUAUAAUGUAUUGUAAUAUUUGAAGCACAAAUGUAAUACAGUUUUAUUGUGUUACCAUUUGUGUUCUGUUUGCUUCUUUGUAUUGUUGCAUUUAGUACAAUCAGUGUUUAAACUUCUGUAUAUUUAUGCUUUCUGUAUCUACCAGCUAUUUUAAAUGAGCUGUAACUUUCUAGUAAAGAAUUGAAGAGAAAAAUCUCACUAAUGAUACACAGAUAGAUAAAGCAAGUCUAUCAACAUUAAAAGUACUAAAAAAUAAAGACACACACAAAGCAUUUUAGUGACAUCUACUACUUAUUGCCACUAUGAUUUAGAGUCUAUCAGUGUUCUCAUUAUAACCCCCUAUUUUCAGGGGGUUAAAGAUCAGCUUUAAAAAAUGCAUAAAAUUCAUCCUAAAGCACUUUGAUUUUAUACCAACGUGAAAAGUGCCAUUUUUGAAAUACCUUUAAAGCUUAACGAUUAUCCUUUCAGUAUCCUUUUUUGUGCUCACAGACACAAUAGCUUUAUCUUAUUUUUCCAGCCACACCCCCUAUGUGAACUAGUGCCUUUGGGUAUCAUAUAAAAUUUUUCCAAAGGGUUACUUUAAAAAAGUAUUGCCACAAUUAUGAGGUAAUUUUAAACUGAUAAAUUUCUUGUAUAAAUGUUGCCCAGAUCUCUCCACAGGAGCUAAGGGUUUAAUCACUGGGCUAAAUGAAUUUAUGGCACUGAAAAGAUCUGAGUGUGAAUCUUCUGAAAUGAUGGUAAUGCACAUUGAAGCUAUAAUGGUACUUGAGUAGUGAGGUUACUUUUGAUCAGAGCAACAUCAUGCUUGUAGAAUCUUCUAGAAGAAGAGAAACAAAAGGAUUGAUAAAAAGCUGAGAAGUGGUGAUUUUCUAUUUUUCUGUAUUUGCCUACCAUUUAAUGUUCAAAAAAUGAAUGCUUUAAGUUUGGUAUGUCAUAUUUUCUCAUCACUUAAAGUAAUUACCAACUCAGAAUAUCUUACACUUAGGCUAAAUUCUGUCACUCCAUUUUUGAAAGGGGCCAUAUUCCCUUACCUUAAUGAUAGCUGAUAAAGAAGAAAGCUCUAGAAACAGAAAUUAUGGAGAAUGAUUAUUUAAAUUAUAAUGAAGAAAAUAAAAAUGAGAAUAUGGCCCCUUCUGGGUGGCUCACACUUUCCUCCUUGUCUCUAUAAAGGAACUCCUUUUCAACAAAUCUCAUUCCACACAGUCACAAUGAACCACAUUUUUACUAGAGCAAAAACUUAGUGCUGUGGGUUUUCUUUCUUCACUUUUCCUUGGUCGCUUGUAAAGGGAACAGUAUUUCCCAGUGUUAUUUGCAUACAUAUUUUGUCCUGCCAAUAUAUGCAUUACAAUGAAAAUUACAUGUUAUACCUGAAUUCUUGGUUUGGGGCCAAAAUAUUAAGCUGAAGAUAAUGCUGGUGUGGAUUUGAGUUGUUUUAAAUCAAAGCUUUAUUAUGAACAUGCAUGUGAAUCUGAAUAUUGCCUCUUAUUUUUAAGAAAAUGGUUCUGUGAGAAGUGAAUGAUAGUGUAUUUUUACAAAUGCUUCAUGGUUAAGAGUGUUCAAGUCACAUGUCCCCCAAAUUUGAAAUAUACUGAAGAAAGAAUCUCAAAAAUAGCCAUUCGGGGCCCACAAAGUAAUUAUUAUUUUACCCUUAGAGCCUUACAUUUGUUUCAUGAAGAGAUAAUACGUAUAUAGUCCCAAUGUGACAAAACAAGACAAAGCAAAAACAGGAGGGGGAGAAGAUAAACCAGAAGAGGUUUUCAUAAUGCAGCCCUGUUAGACCCCAUUAACAGUUGUCAGUAUCUUUUUCAAAUGAACCUUUUUCAAAUUUAAGCAGUUUUACAUAUGUUUGUCAAUAUAUCAGAAAAAGAGAACUUAUAAAUUGGGGAAAAACUUCUCUCUGCUUCUUGAAGCUGUUCAAGUAUCCUUGCCACCCCACUACUGAACAAGAUUUUCACAACUUUUUAUUUUGCUUAAUCCUUCAGGAUUUAAUUCUUAACGCUUUUUACUCCAAACAAAAUUACUUACCUGGAUUAAAGAUUAAGGCCUUAUUCUGUUUAGAUCAUCUUUAAUCUCCAUGAAACUGUGAAACAAGACAGGAAUCAUUUUUCAGGAUGUAGGCUGUUUUACAUCUAAUUGCCCAUAAACAGUAGCAUUUUUGACCUGAAGUACUAAACUAAUUGUCUUGACUACUCAAAGCCCCUGAAUUGUUGUCAACUCUCCUCUUUGUGUUGUGUAGCCCUGGUGUCUCUUAGCUUGUUACCUGAUGUUCCAGAAGGACAGCUCCAAUGGAGCUUGGAUUUCUCAAGACGGAAAGCUCCCUUCCCUAACAUUCAUCUCCAACUGGCUGCUUACAAUGAAGGACCAGUCAUCUCCACUCCACCAGCGUGCUUACUGAGCUUAAAAGCUGACCUGUGUUUGUAAUUUCACUUUCAUCUUGCUUAAUAAAUAUCUGCUGGAUUCUUUCAUUCA
This 2951-nucleotide long non-coding RNA is filed under the name Marmota monax (woodchuck). The record is from RNAcentral. Lineage: Eukaryota; Metazoa; Chordata; Mammalia; Rodentia; Sciuridae.